RNAcentral lists this ribosomal RNA (441 nucleotides) under uncultured archaeon. RNAcentral's name for it is "bacterial SSU rRNA". It matches the Rfam family "Archaeal small subunit ribosomal RNA", at positions 48 to 466 of the family's 1478-position model. The record is from RNAcentral.
GCCAUGCCAGACGAACGACUCGGNCUAUNNNGAGAAGUGGCAAACUGCUCAGUAACACGUAGCUAACCUACCCUCGGGACAGGGAAAACCCCGGGAAACUGGGGUUAAUACCCGAUAGGCGUGGAUUCCUGGAAUGGUGUCACGCCGAAAAGUCAACACACCAUGUUUGUGUGCACGCCCGAGGAUGGGGCUGCGGCCGAUCAGGCAGUUGGUGAGGUAACGGCUCACCAAACCUUUGACCGGUACGGGCCGUGAGAGCGGUAGCCCGGAGAUGGACACUGAGACAAGGGUCCAGGACCUACGGGUCGCAGCCGGUACGAAACCUCCACAAUGCACGAAAGUGCGAUGGGGUUACCUCGAGUGCCCGCCUGAANAAGGUGGCUUUUCCAUUGUGUAAUGACCCGCGGGAAUAAGGGGGGGGCAAGACUGGUGUCACCCGCC